This 194-nucleotide unclassified non-coding RNA is filed under the name uncultured Strelitziana. RNAcentral describes it as "sequence contains ITS1". Lineage: Eukaryota; Fungi; Ascomycota; Eurotiomycetes; Chaetothyriales. The record is from RNAcentral.
CCGAGUUAGGGUGUCUCUCUGAGCGCCCGACCUCCCAACCCUUUGUCUAUGAUACCUUUUUGUUGCUUCGGCGUGCCGAGGGGUCAUACCCUCGCCGGAUCUCCGGUCUGGAGCGUGCCCGCCGAUGGCCUCAACUUAAACACUUGAACCCAAAACCUGUCGUCUGAAACAUUUUAUGAUUUAUAAUCAAAAAC